This 2919-nucleotide ribosomal RNA is filed under the name Klebsiella pneumoniae. RNAcentral describes it as "23S ribosomal RNA". It matches the Rfam family "Bacterial large subunit ribosomal RNA". The record is from RNAcentral. Lineage: Bacteria; Pseudomonadati; Pseudomonadota; Gammaproteobacteria; Enterobacterales; Enterobacteriaceae.
GGGUUGUGAGGUUAAGCGACUAAGCGUACACGGUGGAUGCCCUGGCAGUCAGAGGCGAUGAAGGACGUGCUAAUCUGCGAAAAGCGUCGGUAAGGUGAUAUGAACCGUUAUAACCGGCGAUGUCCGAAUGGGGAAACCCAGUGUGAUUCGUCACACUAUCGUUAACUGAAUACAUAGGUUAACGAGGCGAACCGGGGGAACUGAAACAUCUAAGUACCCCGAGGAAAAGAAAUCAACCGAGAUUCCCCAGUAGCGGCGAGCGAACGGGGAGCAGCCCAGAGUCUGAAUCAGCUUGUGUGUUAGUGGAACGGUCUGGAAAGUCCGACGGUACAGGGUGAUAGUCCCGUACACCAAAAUGCACAGGUUGUGAACUCGAAGAGUAGGGCGGGACACGUGGUAUCCUGUCUGAAUAUGGGGGACCAUCCUCCAAGGCUAAAUACUCCUGACUGACCGAUAGUGAACCAGUACCGUGAGGGAAAGGCGAAAAGAACCCCGGCGAGGGGAGUGAAAAAGAACCUGAAACCGUGUACGUACAAGCAGUGGGAGCACCUUCGGGUGUGACUGCGUACCUUUUGUAUAAUGGGUCAGCGACUUAUAUUCUGUAGCAAGGUUAACCGUAUAGGGGAGCCGCAGGGAAACCGAGUCUUAACUGGGCGUUAAGUUGCAGGGUAUAGACCCGAAACCCGGUGAUCUAGCCAUGGGCAGGUUGAAGGUUGGGUAACACUAACUGGAGGACCGAACCGACUAAUGUUGAAAAAUUAGCGGAUGACUUGUGGCUGGGGGUGAAAGGCCAAUCAAACCGGGAGAUAGCUGGUUCUCCCCGAAAGCUAUUUAGGUAGCGCCUCGUGAAUUCAUCUUCGGGGUAGAGCACUGUUUCGGCUAGGGGGUCAUCCCGACUUACCAACCCGAUGCAAACUACGAAUACCGAAGAAUGUUAUCACGGGAGACACACGGCGGGUGCUAACGUCCGUCGUGAAGAGGGAAACAACCCAGACCGCCAGCUAAGGUCCCAAAGUCAUGGUUAAGUGGGAAACGAUGUGGGAAGGCACAGACAGCCAGGAUGUUGGCUUAGAAGCAGCCAUCAUUUAAAGAAAGCGUAAUAGCUCACUGGUCGAGUCGGCCUGCGCGGAAGAUGUAACGGGGCUAAACCAUGCACCGAAGCUGCGGCAGCGACACUAUGUGUUGUUGGGUAGGGGAGCGUUCUGUAAGCCUGCGAAGGUGACCUGUGAGGGUUGCUGGAGGUAUCAGAAGUGCGAAUGCUGACAUAAGUAACGAUAAAGCGGGUGAAAAGCCCGCUCGCCGGAAGACCAAGGGUUCCUGUCCAACGUUAAUCGGGGCAGGGUGAGUCGACCCCUAAGGCGAGGCCGAAAGGCGUAGUCGAUGGGAAACAGGUUAAUAUUCCUGUACUUGGUGUUACUGCGAAGGGGGGACGGAGAAGGCUAUGUUAGCCGGGCGACGGUUGUCCCGGUUUAAGCAUGUAGGCUGGUUGUCCAGGCAAAUCCGGAUAAUCAAGGCUGAGGUGUGAUGACGAGGCACUACGGUGCUGAAGUAACAAAUGCCCUGCUUCCAGGAAAAGCCUCUAAGCAUCAGGUAACAUUAAAUCGUACCCCAAACCGACACAGGUGGUCAGGUAGAGAAUACCAAGGCGCUUGAGAGAACUCGGGUGAAGGAACUAGGCAAAAUGGUGCCGUAACUUCGGGAGAAGGCACGCUGGUGUGUAGGUGAAGUCCCUGCGGAUGGAGCUGAGACCAGUCGAAGAUACCAGCUGGCUGCAACUGUUUAUUAAAACACAGCACUGUGCAAACACGAAAGUGGACGUAUACGGUGUGACGCCUGCCCGGUGCCGGAAGGUUAAUUGAUGGGGUUAUCCGUAAGGAGAAGCUCUUGAUCGAAGCCCCGGUAAACGGCGGCCGUAACUAUAACGGUCCUAAGGUAGCGAAAUUCCUUGUCGGGUAAGUUCCGACCUGCACGAAUGGCGUAAUGAUGGCCAGGCUGUCUCCACCCGAGACUCAGUGAAAUUGAACUCGCUGUGAAGAUGCAGUGUACCCGCGGCAAGACGGAAAGACCCCGUGAACCUUUACUAUAGCUUGACACUGAACAUUGAGCCUUGAUGUGUAGGAUAGGUGGGAGGCUUUGAAGCGUGGACGCCAGUCUGCGUGGAGCCAACCUUGAAAUACCACCCUUUAAUGUUUGAUGUUCUAACGUUGGCCCCUUACCGGGGUUGCGGACAGUGUCUGGUGGGUAGUUUGACUGGGGCGGUCUCCUCCCAAAGCGUAACGGAGGAGCACGAAGGUUAGCUAAUCCUGGUCGGACAUCAGGAGGUUAGUGCAAUGGCAUAAGCUAGCUUGACUGCGAGCGUGACGGCGCGAGCAGGUGCGAAAGCAGGUCAUAGUGAUCCGGUGGUUCUGAAUGGAAGGGCCAUCGCUCAACGGAUAAAAGGUACUCCGGGGAUAACAGGCUGAUACCGCCCAAGAGUUCAUAUCGACGGCGGUGUUUGGCACCUCGAUGUCGGCUCAUCACAUCCUGGGGCUGAAGUAGGUCCCAAGGGUAUGGCUGUUCGCCAUUUAAAGUGGUACGCGAGCUGGGUUUAGAACGUCGUGAGACAGUUCGGUCCCUAUCUGCCGUGGGCGCUGGAGAAUUGAGGGGGGCUGCUCCUAGUACGAGAGGACCGGAGUGGACGCAUCACUGGUGUUCGGGUUGUCAUGCCAAUGGCACUGCCCGGUAGCUAAAUGCGGAAGAGAUAAGUGCUGAAAGCAUCUAAGCACGAAACUUGCCCCGAGAUGAGUUCUCCCUGAGACUUUAAGUCUCCUGAAGGAACGUUAAAGACGAUGACGUUGAUAGGCCGGGUGUGUAAGCGCAGCGAUGCGUUGAGCUAACCGGUACUAAUGAACCGUGAGGCUUAACCUUACAACGCCGAAG